This 191-nucleotide small nuclear RNA is filed under the name Dactylellina haptotyla CBS 200.50. RNAcentral describes it as "U4 spliceosomal RNA". It matches the Rfam family "U4 spliceosomal RNA". From Rfam's summary of the family: U4 small nuclear RNA (U4 snRNA) is a component of the major U2-dependent spliceosome. The structure of U4 snRNA from yeast and human has been reported. Lineage: Eukaryota; Fungi; Ascomycota; Orbiliomycetes; Orbiliales; Orbiliaceae. The record is from Rfam by way of RNAcentral.
AUCCCAGUGCAGGGGCAAUACAUAUCAAAGUGAAGUUCGUGAAUUCUUGCCAUUCCCGUCUCUAUUUACGAUAACACUAACGUUAAAAUGAUAGGGUUUAUCCUGAUUGUAUGUUUUUGCCAAUUGAAAACUAAAUUAACGACCAGUCGAACUGAGUUUCACUCAGUACGCAAUUUUUACGUUAUAAAUUG